AGACGGCGGGACAAAGGCCAGCCGGUGGGUCCCCAGUUUUGAGUAAUCCAGAUACGGUUCCGGGGUUCCAGGCAGCGCUCGGAGCGCAGAGCUCUCGGCACGGCCUCCGCGCCUCCCCCGAGCCCCCGAGCCAGGUGGGGCCGGGAGGGAGACCCAGGGCCUGCGCUCAGAGGCCGGGGAGUUGUGUUUAUUUUCCAGUUAUUCUUGGCCGCCGUCCACGCGAUUAUUUGGAGCAGCGCAGGGGCCUUCGGGGAGAGCUGGGGCCUUGGGGGGGUGGGGUGGGGGUCCCUUUGCCAGGCCCCACGAGUUUUAUGGCGCCGGAGCUCGGAGGGCGAAAUUACAGGCGGAAUCAAAAUGUGUAAAUUAUAGGUUUGUGUUGUAAAGAGGCCUGAGCGCGCCCGCUGGAGAAAGGCGGUUGUGGGUUCCCGGCGGACCCGCGCCAGCGCCGCGCGCGCCUCUGCGCGCUGAGCUUUUGCCGGCUCCACCCCCAGGCGCGGGGAGCCCGGACCCCGGGGCGCGGGGACACAGGGCCGCCACGCAGGCCCCCGGGCUCCGGCCCGCACCGCGUGGCCUCCCUGGCCGGCCGGAGAGAGAGGCAGCAGGCCGACUCCCGGCCUCCGGCGCGCCAGGCUCGACGACCAGCAGUCAGGACCGCGGGAGCCGGGGCGCUGUCGCCCUCCUGCCGUCCCCGCCGCGCUGGCCUUUUAGCCGCAGCUCGCCAAUUAGCUUUCGUCGGAAAUGCCUUUAUGUGCCCAGCCGCGAGCGGAGCGAAAGCUCAUUGAAGAGUUUAGACGCGUGUGCCUUGGCGGGUCGCCGGAGCGCGUUGGAAAGAAUUUCAGAAACAUCGCCGUUCAAAGCUCUCCUGACUUAAUUUUAAAUUAUUUGGCUUUUCCUGGGUUUCUUCUGCAUUCCCUUCGCCGUCUUAUCUCUUCUUUUCCCCCCUUUCAAAAAAAAUUUCCCCUUACCUUCGCUUCCUUUCCCUUCUCCCCCUCCGGGCUGGCCUCCUGCCUGCCUGCCUGCCUGCCUUCCUUCCUUCCCUCCCUCCUGGAUCCCGUCUUUCCCAUUACAUGUUCGAUUUUCUUUCUUCUUUCUCUCCUUUUUCUCCUCACAGUUGCAGGAUUUCAAAACCCCCUUCUUGCGGGCGUCUUUCCCCUUAUUUAUUUACACCAUUUUGCAUCCCUCCACGCUCCCUUGUUCCUUUCUACUUUGACUCUCUCCAUUUCUUGGCCUAGGAUGUGUUGCCAUUGAACAUCAACGUUCUUCGUUACGGAAAACCAACUGCAGCCGGUCACACUGGCCUCAAGAAAACCAGAAAGGGGAGGAGAACAUUUUAAGAACCUUCCAGAAGUCCUGCGUUGGGUUAGCACCAGCCCUUCCAGGACUGGGUGUGUUGGAGAGGCGGAGGGGCUGGAAGGUUACUAAGAGCUCAGAUGUUCCAUAGUCAGUGGGACUGUCCAUUGGGACGGGUGACAUACCCAGCUACCAGCUGUCCCUCCUGUGUGUUACUACUGCCUGCCUGUGCAUACCAGGCUCUGUCCCCUUCUGAGGCCCAUUUGAUUCCCACCUCCGUUCUGAGAGCCCAGGCGACCGCCUUGCCAAUGGUUGGCGAGAAUUUCAAGAAGGCAAAAAACCCAUCCGAUGUUAAAAUCCUUCUCAGACCACCUAGCUCCCUUCCAGGAUGACAGAUGUCUAUUUGCC
RNAcentral lists this long non-coding RNA (1698 nucleotides) under Lynx pardinus (Iberian lynx). The record is from RNAcentral. Lineage: Eukaryota; Metazoa; Chordata; Mammalia; Carnivora; Felidae.